GACGAACGCUGGCGGCGUGCUUAACACAUGCAAGUCGAACGGAAAGGCCCUGCUUUUGUGGGGUGCUCGAGUGGCGAACGGGUGAGUAACACGUGAGUAACCUGCCCUUGACUUUGGGAUAACUUCAGGAAACUGGGGCUAAUACCGGAUAGGAGCUCCUGCUUCAGGGUGGGGGUUGGAAAGUUUCGGCGGUUGGGGAUGGACUCGCGGCUUAUCAGCUUGUUGGUGGGGUAGUGGCUUACCAAGGCUUUGACGGGUAGCCGGCCUGAGAGGGUGACCGGCCACAGUGGGACUGAGAUACGGCCCAGACUCCUACGGGAGGCAGCAGUGGGGAAUAUUGCACGAUGGGCGGAAGCCUGAUGCAGCAACGCCGCGUGCGGGAUGACGGCCUUCGGGUUGUAAACCGCUUUCGCCUGUGACGAAGCGUGAGUGACGGUAAUGGGUAAAGAAGCACCGGCUAACUACGUG
This 468-nucleotide ribosomal RNA is filed under the name uncultured bacterium. RNAcentral's name for it is "partial 16S ribosomal RNA". It matches the Rfam family "Bacterial small subunit ribosomal RNA", at positions 28 to 507 of the family's 1533-position model. The record is from RNAcentral.